GCGAAGGGUGGCUCUGACUUCCUUGGGUUCGAUCCCCAAAACCUCCGGAGGGUUAGUUACACCGGUCGGACGGUGAGCGAUCGCAAUGACGACCCGAUCCGUGUGUGUAGCUAGGUAGCGGACGCUCUCACUACGCUUACCUGGUGAUAAAUUAAUUUGAGGUAAGGUCGUGUAGUGGGUCUAUGGGACCGGCCAUCAGGUAAUACUUGGAUUUGGCGCCGUAUUAAUUUAAGC
RNAcentral lists this long non-coding RNA (234 nucleotides) under Rosa chinensis. Its description in RNAcentral is "sRNA RchiOBHm_Chr2g0106101". Lineage: Eukaryota; Viridiplantae; Streptophyta; Magnoliopsida; Rosales; Rosaceae. The record is from RNAcentral.